Molecule: transfer RNA, 53 nt
Filed under: Proasellus parvulus
Lineage: Eukaryota; Metazoa; Arthropoda; Malacostraca; Isopoda; Asellidae
Description: transfert RNA-S1(AGA)
Source: RNAcentral
AGAGUGAUUAAAACGGCCUUCUAAUUCGUUAAAAAGUGUAAACUUACACUCUA